Molecule: ribosomal RNA, 469 nt
Filed under: uncultured Legionellaceae bacterium
Lineage: Bacteria; Pseudomonadati; Pseudomonadota; Gammaproteobacteria; Legionellales; Legionellaceae
Description: bacterial SSU rRNA
Rfam family: Bacterial small subunit ribosomal RNA
Source: RNAcentral
UUUCCUACGGGAGGCAGCAGUGGGGAAUAUUGGACAAUGGGGGCAACCCUGAUCCAGCAAUGCCGCGUGUGUGAAGAAGGCCUGAGGGUUGUAAAGCACUUUCAGUGGGGAGGAGGUUAAUUUUGUUAAGAGCUGAGUUAAUGGACGUUACCCACAGAAGAAGCACCGGCUAACUCCGUGCCAGCAGCCGCGGUAAUACGGAGGGUGCGAGCGUUAAUCGGAAUUACUGGGCGUAAAGGGUGCGUAGGUUGUUUGAUAAGUGAUCUGUAAAAUCCCCGGGCUUAACCUGGGCAGGUCAGAUAAGACUGUUGGACUUGAGUAAAGGAGAGGGCAGUGGAAUUUCCGGUGUAGCGGUGAAAUGCGUAGAGAUCGGAAGGAACACCAGUGGCGAAGGCGGCUGCCUGGCCUGAUACUGACACUGAGGCACGAAAGCGUGGGGAGCAAACAGGAUUAGAUACCCGGGUAGUCU